Molecule: long non-coding RNA, 630 nt
Filed under: Rhinopithecus bieti (black snub-nosed monkey)
Lineage: Eukaryota; Metazoa; Chordata; Mammalia; Primates; Cercopithecidae
Description: lncRNA (ENSRBIG00000046474.1)
Source: RNAcentral
AAGGGACUGAAACCAUAAGCCAUAGCAACAUAUCAGCAAUACAGACUGAGAUGAGACAGCAGUACAGUUUUAUUAUUCACUCUGGCCUAUUAUUAGCUAUGCUGAUGAAACUUUAUGAAACAUGCGAAAAAGCAGUUUGAAGCAACAGGUAGCAAGCAACAGCCAAGGCUGUCCUCCAGGACCUGUGGUGUUCACCUCUGGCUAUAAGCAGCCUCAUUGGUGAACACUAGCAUGUAUCUUCGCAUGUACAUUAGAUGCUGUAAAGUGAAACAUGGUGGGACGCUCUGCAGCCUACAUGCUGGCAACAUACAGAAGGCAUUCAGAUAACAGAGCGCUCAGAGGGCUGCAAACCACUGGGACAGGAAGAAGAGAUAAUAUCUCAAGGGUUAGAGAAAGAGACCCAGGUUAGUGUUAGAUAGAAAGGUUCGUGAAACAGCUGUCAUAAAGACUCAGGGUUCUGAGUUCUGGAUGUAAGACUAUAAAUGUCAGUGAGAUAGGUCAGACUGGAAGAAAAACAUAUGUUGGAGAAGAGAAAGAAAAAUAAGUGGAUAGUGGAUGUCAUAGUAUCCACCCUUCAAGACUAAAGUCCUCAUUCUCCCAACUGCUGGGACUGGUGACUACUGAAGUCUC